Molecule: long non-coding RNA, 210 nt
Organism: Coffea eugenioides
Lineage: Eukaryota; Viridiplantae; Streptophyta; Magnoliopsida; Gentianales; Rubiaceae
Exons: 2
Source: RefSeq, a predicted model, not a curated record
GGAAUUCCUGUGGCUUUAAUACUGGGAUUUGCACUACAUUUAGGAGGAAUGGGUCUCUGGAGUGGACUGGUCGCUGGAGCCACGGUGCAAAGUCUUCUCUUGUCCAUCAUCACAGGCCUGACAAACUGGGAAAAUCAGGUGAUUGAAGCUAGACGCAGAAUAUAUGAAGGGGAAGAAAAAAAGGCCACUUCAGUGUGAGUCAAUUGGAUG